This 300-nucleotide small nuclear RNA is filed under the name Dryobates pubescens (Downy woodpecker). Its description in RNAcentral is "Picoides pubescens (downy woodpecker) 7SK RNA". It matches the Rfam family "7SK RNA". Rfam says of the family: 7SK was discovered as an abundant small nuclear RNA in the mid-70s but a possible function has only recently been suggested. Two independent studies have found that 7SK RNA binds the CDK9/cyclin T complex (known as elongation factor P-TEFb). P-TEFb activates transcription by phosphorylating the C-terminal domain of RNA polymerase II. The record is from Rfam by way of RNAcentral. Lineage: Eukaryota; Metazoa; Chordata; Aves; Piciformes; Picidae.
GGAUGUGAGGGCGAUCUAGCUGUGAUAUCUGUCACCCCAUUGAUUCAGCUGAUCUGGCUGGCUAGGCGGGUGUCCCCUUCCUCCCUCACUGCUCCAUGUGCAUCCCUCCUGAAGCUGCAUGCUCUGUCAAAGAGGACGGCCUUCCCCAAUAGAGACAGUACCGUUCAUCAGUCAAAGGUAUACAGUAGCUGUGCUCCCCUGCUAGAACCUCCAAACAAGCACAACUGCAGUCCAAUUCUAAACAAAGGCUCAAGAACUAAAAAAGAAAACAAAAUCUUUGCUUGCAAAGCUGUGUGGUUU